CGCAAAUCCAUUUCCCCUCCCUUCCCAGCCCUCCCAAGACGCGCCAGCGAGCGGGCUGGUGCUGCCCACCGGCCUUUGAUGCUCAGAAGGGGAACUGCGGGGACUGUUUAGACUCCCAGAAAGGACAGGAGUCUUCGCAUCAACUCACGGCCUGGGGUCAGGUAGGAGUUCGAGGUUUCGUUAAGUGAUUGCCUGGGAAGAGAAGAGAUAUUCUGCCGCCUAAUGGAGGGCUCUCUCUCAAGGGUGCUGUGGUGCUUUUCUCACUUGGUUGGUGGCAGCUGCUGGUGAGGGCAUGAGGAUAAAAGCAGGGAUCGUGAGGCCCCAGGUGAGGUCUGCUCAGCCCACCCCUCACUCUUUGACAGUUGACUCUUCUGGACAAAAAUCAAGUCAGAGCUGGGCCCCAGUUUCACAGGACACGUUGGACAAGUGAAUUUGCUGAGUCACACCCUCCUCUCACCCGUCUCCAGCUCUGCACCUCCCACCCAGGGGCUCCCUGACCCGGCUGCCUCCCCCACCCCACACAGUGUCGGUGUGAGCCUACAUUUGUGUGCAUUUGUGUGUGUUGAAAACCAAAAAGCUAACUUCAUCCUCCAAGAAGUAAAAAUUGGAUCAAUGCAGCUUGCACCUCCCCUAAUCAGAAGCUGUCAAUCCAGUGACCGCUGGUGAGGAAAGACUGGCCUCCUAUCUGGUUCAGCACUCAAGGACUCUUUGAGAUGGAAGUGGCUACUGACACUAACGUCUCUGAGGACUUUCAUCAUUGUCCUCCCUGCCCAAAGGGUUACUCAGGAACAGCAGCACCAGCAUCCCUGGAAGCUUGUGGACGAGCAGAAUCUCAGCUCCAAACCAGACCCAAGGAAUCAGAGGCUGCAAUUUGACAAGACCUGCAGGUAGCUCACGAGCACGUGGAGGUUUGGGAAGCACUGUUCUUCAGCUCCGACAUGUGCCAGCCACUUCCCCCAAAGACAGCCAGCUCUUCGAAACUUUUCUACUCAUCAGCUAUCAUUGAGCUUUCUGAAGCAGCAUGUAGUAAGUCAGCCCCUUCUUUUCCAAGGAAACCUAUCACUUCACUCACCCCGUAAAUAUUUUUGGUGUGCCCACUUGGUGCUCAGUGUUUGCAGGGGAGGAAAGAUAAAUACGUGCAGAAGCAGUUCUGAAUCCCAUUAUUCCUCCUUCAGG
Molecule: long non-coding RNA, 1176 nt
Filed under: Equus caballus (horse)
Lineage: Eukaryota; Metazoa; Chordata; Mammalia; Perissodactyla; Equidae
Description: lncRNA (ENSECAG00000060304.1)
Source: RNAcentral